This 519-nucleotide long non-coding RNA is filed under the name Rosa chinensis. RNAcentral describes it as "sRNA RchiOBHm_Chr1g0313451". Lineage: Eukaryota; Viridiplantae; Streptophyta; Magnoliopsida; Rosales; Rosaceae. The record is from RNAcentral.
UAUUAGUUCUUUUAAAAAUAAUUUUAUUGUAAUAAAAUUAGAAAAUUGAGGAAGACAUUAUCUAACUAGAUGUGAGCAAGCCUAGAGUUGAGCAGAGAGAACGGCGGCGGCGGUGGACCAAGCAAAUCCAUUGGAUCUUGAAGUGACGAGGCAUCUCAUCGGUCAUCCCUGUGUCGGUGGUUGUGCGCCAGCACGUGUUGAGUGUGGCAAGGCUCGUUGUGCUUCUGGGUUGAGGCCAGGAACGUCAGGACGGUUGGCAUUCAUUUUUAACAGAUCUAGUAGAAGAGCGACGAAGAUGUGGUUCUUGUUUUGGUCGGUCCUCUGUAGAGCUGAUUUUCGGCGUUGAUAAGGUGCUAGAAAGGCCGGCUACUGGAAAGCUUGGCGGCGGUGGUGAUCGAUGGAUUUGACAGAAGUGGGCUAGGACUUGUGCUCAUAAAUUUGCUCGGGUUUGAGCUUGGGCCUUUGGAUCUAGGCUCAACUUUGGGUUGUUUGGCUCUAUUUUGUUGACCUACAGGGAGG